Molecule: ribosomal RNA, 119 nt
Filed under: Helianthus annuus (common sunflower)
Lineage: Eukaryota; Viridiplantae; Streptophyta; Magnoliopsida; Asterales; Asteraceae
Source: RNAcentral
GGUUGCGAUCAUAACAGCACUAAUGCACCGGAUCCCAUCAGAACUCCGUAGUUAAGCGUGCUUGGGCGAGAGUAGUACUAGGAUGGGUGACCCCCUGGGAAGUCCUCGUGUUGCAACCC